Molecule: ribosomal RNA, 378 nt
Filed under: Bacillus tequilensis
Lineage: Bacteria; Bacillati; Bacillota; Bacilli; Caryophanales; Bacillaceae
Description: bacterial SSU rRNA
Rfam family: Bacterial small subunit ribosomal RNA
Source: RNAcentral
UUCCCUUCGGGGGCAGAGUGACAGGUGGUGCAUGGUUGUCGUCAGCUCGUGUCGUGAGAUGUUGGGUUAAGUCCCGCAACGAGCGCAACCCUUGAUCUUAGUUGCCAGCAUUCAGUUGGGCACUCUAAGGUGACUGCCGGUGACAAACCGGAGGAAGGUGGGGAUGACGUCAAAUCAUCAUGCCCCUUAUGACCUGGGCUACACACGUGCUACAAUGGACAGAACAAAGGGCAGCGAAACCGCGAGGUUAAGCCAAUCCCACAAAUCUGUUCUCAGUUCGGAUCGCAGUCUGCAACUCGACUGCGUGAAGCUGGAAUCGCUAGUAAUCGCGGAUCAGCAUGCCGCGGUGAAUACGUUCCCGGGUCUUGUACACACCGA